Molecule: ribosomal RNA, 497 nt
Filed under: uncultured bacterium
Lineage: Bacteria
Description: partial 16S ribosomal RNA
Rfam family: Bacterial small subunit ribosomal RNA
Source: RNAcentral
GAUGAACGCUGGCGGCGUGCCUAAUACAUGCCAGUCGAGCGAACAGACGAGGAGCUUGCUUCUCUGACGUUAGCGGCGGACGGGUGAGUAACACGUGGAUAACCUACCUAUAAGACUGGGAUAACUUCGGGAAACCGGAGCUAAUACCGGAUAAUAUAUUGAACCGCAUGGUUCAAUAGUGAAAGACGGUUUUGCUGUCACUUAUAGAUGGAUCCGCGCCGCAUUAGCUAGUUGGUAGGGUAACGGCUUACCAAGGCAACGAUGCGUAGCCGACCUGAGAGGGUGAUCGGCCACACUGGAACUGAGACACGGUCCAGACUCCUACGGGAGGCAGCAGUAGGGAAUCUUCCGCAAUGGGCGAAAGCCUGACGGAGCAACGCCGCGUGAGUGAUGAAGGUCUUCGGAUCGUAAAACUCUGUUAUUAGGGAAGAACAAAUGUGUAAGUAACUAUGCACGUCUUGACGGUACCUAAUCAGAAAGCCACGGCUAACUACGUG